AGCAGCCGCGGUAAUUCCAGCUCCAAUAGCGUAUAUUAAAGUUGUUGCAGUUAAAAAGCUCGUAGUUGAAUUUCGGGAUUGACACAUCGGUCGUGCCUUAAGGGGUAUGAACUGGUGUAGCCAAUUUCUCACCUUCUGGAGAACCGCGAUGUCCUUAAUUGGGUGCCGCGAGGAACCAGGACCUUUACUUUGAAAAAAUUAGAGUGUUUAAAGCAGGCAUUUUGCUUGAAUACAUUAGCAUGGAAUAAUAAAAUAGGACGGCAUGAUUCCAUUUUGUUGUUUUCUAGGAUCACCGUAAUGAUUAAUAGGGUUAGUUGGGGGCAUUAGUAUUCAAUUGUCAGAGGUGAAAUUCUUGGAUUUAUUGAAGACUAACUACUGCGAAAGCAUUUGCCAAGGAUGUUUUCAUUAAUCAAGAACGAAAGUUAGGGGAUCGAAGACGAUCAGAUACCGUCGUAGUCUUAACCAUAAACUAUGCCGACUAGGAAUCAGACGAUGUUAAUUUUUUAAUGACUCG
Molecule: ribosomal RNA, 514 nt
Filed under: uncultured Glomus
Lineage: Eukaryota; Fungi; Glomeromycota; Glomeromycetes; Glomerales; Glomeraceae
Description: SSU rRNA
Rfam family: Eukaryotic small subunit ribosomal RNA
Source: RNAcentral